This 496-nucleotide ribosomal RNA is filed under the name uncultured bacterium. RNAcentral describes it as "partial 16S ribosomal RNA". It matches the Rfam family "Bacterial small subunit ribosomal RNA", at positions 28 to 506 of the family's 1533-position model. The record is from RNAcentral.
GAUGAACGCUGGCGGCGUGCCUAAUACAUGCAAGUCGAGCGAACAGACGAGGAGCUUGCUCCUCUGACGUUAGCGGCGGACGGGUGAGUAACACGUGGAUAACCUACCUAUAAGACUGGGAUAACUUCGGGAAACCGGAGCUAAUACCGGAUAAUAUAUUGAACCGCAUGGUUCAAUAGUGAAAGACGGUUUUGCUGUCACUUAUAGAUGGAUCCGCGCCGCAUUAGCUAGUUGGUAAGGUAACGGCUUACCAAGGCAACGAUGCGUAGCCGACCUGAGAGGGUGAUCGGCAACACUGGAAAUGAGACACGGUCCAGACUCCUACGGGAGGCACCAGUAGGAAUUCUUCGGCAAGGGGCGAAAGCCUGACGGAGCAACGCCGCGUGAGUGAUGAAGGGCUUCGGAUCGUAAAACUCUGUUAUUAGGGAAGAACAAAUGUGUAAGUAACUAUGCACGUCUUGACGGGACCUAAUCAGAAGGCCACGGCAACCUACGU